Schizosaccharomyces pombe (fission yeast) is the source of this 235-nucleotide non-coding RNA. Lineage: Eukaryota; Fungi; Ascomycota; Schizosaccharomycetes; Schizosaccharomycetales; Schizosaccharomycetaceae. The record is from the annotation of a GenBank genome assembly.
UGUAGAUGGUAAUAUCCGCGCUAGCUUCCCAUUGUAAAAAAAGGAAUGUAAGGUAUGCCUGAGUCUUUUUGUUAGAAAAUUGGGAUAAAGAACUUACAGUUGCUUUGUCCUGGAAUUUCGUUGUCUGCUGAUUGUAGCACAUUGAAAGAUUGAUGAGUAUAACUUCAACUUGAAUGGGAUGCGUCACCGGCAUAGAAUGUGGAUCAUUUUUCUUUAGAUUUUUACCAUUGUUAAU